This 253-nucleotide ribosomal RNA is filed under the name uncultured bacterium. RNAcentral describes it as "partial 16S ribosomal RNA". It matches the Rfam family "Bacterial small subunit ribosomal RNA", at positions 524 to 776 of the family's 1533-position model. The record is from RNAcentral.
UACGUAGGGGACAAGCGUUGUCCGGAUUUACUGGGCGUAAAGAGCGCGCAGGCGGUCGUUCAAGUCGAGUGUGAAAGCCCCCGGCUCAACUGGGGAGGGUCAUUCGAUACUGAUCGACUGGAAGGCAGGAGAGGGAAGCGGAAUUCCCGGUGUAGUGGUGAAAUGCGUAGAUAUCGGGAGGAACACCAGUGGCGAAGGCGGCUUCCUGGCCUGUUCUUGACGCUGAGGCGCGAAAGCUAGGGGAGCAAACGGG